Temnothorax curvispinosus is the source of this 713-nucleotide long non-coding RNA. RefSeq lists it as uncharacterized. The transcript is spliced from 3 exons. NCBI's taxonomy places the organism in Eukaryota, Metazoa, Arthropoda, Insecta, Hymenoptera, Formicidae. The record is from RefSeq and is a predicted model, not a curated record.
UCUGUUCCCGUGAGUCCCUGUCCGUCAUUAUUUCGCUAGGACCUACGGACGACGACACACCGGCCACGCUAUAGGGAUCCUCGUCAGGAAUUGGAGAGUCUCCGAAAUUCAGGCCCAACUUUCUUAAGUUGACAUUUCGAGAAUUGGAAGGGUAAGGGUUCAGGACGUUGACGUAAGAAAAGGAUGCUUGGGGUCCUCUCAAUAGGCAGACGCGUCGACCCGCGCCAUUCGUCGCUAAACCACCGAGCAGUGAACAUACGAAAUGAGUUUAAGGUCUCCGAGAUCCUACAGUGUAUACGGUGCAACUUUUUCCAAGUUGAAACAUGGAGACGCGUGCGAAAACGCGCGACAGCAGGAACGUACAGAGAAUGACAAACUUUCAAAAAGAGUUUGAUUUUGCCCCCGGGAUAUGGGUUAAAAAACUCAAUUAGCGUGUCCACGAUGCGUUCCGAGAUGCGAAUUAAGCGCACCGCUCUUUGUUAUGCAGUCGCUGCACAGAGAAGAUGUAAACAUUUAAAAUGUAAUAUUUUUGUAUUUUUCAUUAAAAAAGUGAAGAAUAAAUAACUUACAUUGCAUAUCGAUUUUCGUAAGAAUUCGUUUUAUCUUUCUACCCGCAUUCAUAUUAUUAUAUAGUUUUUAAAUGUUUUUAUGUAUCUACUACGUGUUACUACACAUGUCAACGAACUAAUAAUAUACGGUAAAAGUUACGGUAA